Molecule: long non-coding RNA, 726 nt
Organism: Rosa rugosa (rugosa rose)
Lineage: Eukaryota; Viridiplantae; Streptophyta; Magnoliopsida; Rosales; Rosaceae
Exons: 3
Source: RefSeq, a predicted model, not a curated record
GUCUUGUUGUGUGUUAAUCACUUCAUGAACUUAAACUUGCAUUGUUUCUUGGUCCUCGUUGCCUGACUCUUAUUCAAAGCAACCUUGCAGCAAACUUUGACAAUCAUAAUUUAAAACUCUUUUGCCUUUUGGUGCAGGUCUUGAACAUUCCUCCACCUCCAAGUUUAACGUGGCUACUUGAGAGACACAAAACACCAUACAAGUCAUCACUCCACAAGGGGCAGUCACGUUUGAAACUUUGACAUAUGUUCUGGGAUUGCUCUGGUUUGUUCCAUCCCGUGUGUCGACUGGACUUCUCCGUUUACUGUGGAUUGUGAGCUUUGGCAUUGGUUGUCUCCACCACUCAAGCACCGCUGCAGCCACUUUGUGUUUCUGUAGUUUUUGUGAUCGCAGGUGAGCCAAGUAGAACACGCUGCUAACUUGUGAUUGAAGGUGAGCUAAACCGAACACUCUGCAGUCUUGUGGCUGGAGGUGAAGUAACUUCUUGCAUCUGGCGCUGCACAAAGAUCCCUUCAGUGCAGUUUCUUUGCUUUGUGAGCCGAAGCAUGAUUAAUUUGUACUUGGCGUGAACCGGCAGCCCCAGGUUUCACUUGACACUCAUCUUUGCCACCCAUAUGCAGGACGCACCGCGAUACAGGCAUCAAAAACAAGUGCAGUGAAACCCCCUUGAGUUGGACCUUGCUUCCGCCACCUAUACGCAGGACGCACCGCAGUAUAGGCAUCGAA